Molecule: ribosomal RNA, 323 nt
Filed under: uncultured bacterium
Lineage: Bacteria
Description: bacterial SSU rRNA
Rfam family: Bacterial small subunit ribosomal RNA
Source: RNAcentral
GAUGAACGCUGGCGGCGUGCUUAACACAUGCAAGUCGAACGGGAAUUACUUUAUUGAAACUUCGGUCGAUUUAAUUUAAUUCUAGUGGCGGACGGGUGAGUAACGCGUGGGUAACCUGCCUUAUACAGGGGGAUAACAGUCAGAAAUGACUGCUAAUACCGCAUAAGCGCACGGAACCGCAUGGUUCUGUGUGAAAAACUCCGGUGGUAUAAGAUGGACCCGCGUUGGAUUAGCUUGUUGGUGAGGUAACGGCUCACCAAGGCGACGAUCCAUAGCCGGCCUGAGAGGGCGGACGGCCACACUGGGACUGAGACACGGCCCAG